GUGAGGAAUAUUGCGCAAUGGGCGAAAGCCUGACGCAGCAACGCCGCGUGAGGGACGAAGGCCUUCGGGUCGUAAACCUCUUUUCUGGGGAAAGAGCAAGGACGGUACCUCAGGAAUAAGUCUCGGCUAACUACGUGCCAGCAGCCGCGGUAAAACGUAGGAGGCGAGCGUUAUCCGGAUUUACUGGGCGUAAAGCGCGCGCAGGCGGUUUCGUGAGUCGGACAUGAAAGCUCCUGGCUUAACUGGGAGAGGCUGUUCGAUACUGCGGGACUUGAGGUUGGGAGAGGGGUGUGGAAUUCCCGGUGUAGUGGUGGAAUGCGUAGAUAUCGGGAGGAACACCUGUGGCGAAAGCGGCACCCUGGCCCACACCUGACGCUGAGGUGCGAAAGCGUGGGGAGCAAACAGGAUUAGAAACCCUAGUAGUCC
RNAcentral lists this ribosomal RNA (426 nucleotides) under uncultured bacterium. RNAcentral's name for it is "bacterial SSU rRNA". It matches the Rfam family "Bacterial small subunit ribosomal RNA", at positions 354 to 796 of the family's 1533-position model. The record is from RNAcentral.